AUGCCAUGAUGUGGGCACUUUCUCAAUAACUCGUUGAACCUCUCACAAGCAUCACAUACCAACUCAUCCUCCAACUGUUGAAAAGACAUAACCUCGUUCCGAAACUU
Small nucleolar RNA from Humulus lupulus (European hop), 107 nucleotides. Lineage: Eukaryota; Viridiplantae; Streptophyta; Magnoliopsida; Rosales; Cannabaceae. The record is from RefSeq and is a predicted model, not a curated record.